RNAcentral lists this ribosomal RNA (253 nucleotides) under uncultured bacterium. Its description in RNAcentral is "partial 16S ribosomal RNA". It matches the Rfam family "Bacterial small subunit ribosomal RNA", at positions 524 to 776 of the family's 1533-position model. The record is from RNAcentral.
UACAGAGGUCCCAAGCGUUGUUCGGAUUCAUUGGGCGUAAAGGGUGCGUAGGUGGCGCCGUAAGUCGGGUGUGAAAUUUCGGAGCUUAACUCCGAAACUGCAUUCGAUACUGCGGUGCUUGAGGACUGGAGAGGAGACUGGAAUUCAUGGUGUAGCAGUGAAAUGCGUAGAGAUCAUGAGGAAGACCAGUGGCGAAGGCGAGUUUCUGGACGGUAACUGACGCUGAGGCACGAAGGCCAGGGGAGCAAACGGG